UGCAAGUCGAACGAGAAGCUGUCGCAAGACGGUUGUAAAGUGGCAAACGGGUGAGUAAUGCAUGGGUAACCUACCCUCUGGUGGGGGAUAACUCCCCGAAAGGGGUGCUAAUACCGACGAUACGCACCGGCCUCGCAAGGGGCUGGUGGAAAGCCGAGCCGAGGGUUCGGCGCCGGAGGAUGGGCUCAUGUCCUAUCAGCUUGUUGGCGGGGUAAUGGCCCACCAAGGCUGCGACGGGUAGCUGGUCUGAGAGGACGACCAGCCACACUGGCACUGCGACACGGGCCAGACUCCUACGGGAGGCAGCAGUGAGGAAUAUUGCGCAAUGGACGACAGUCUGACGCAGCGACGCCGCGUGGGGGAUGAAGGCCUUCGGGUUGUAAACCCCUUUCGGGAGGGAAGAUGGGACGGGCAACCGUUCGGACGGUACCUCCAGAAGCAGCCACGGCUAACUCUGUGCCAGCAGCCGCGGUAAGACAGAGGUGGCAAGCGUUGUUCGGAUUUACUGGGCGUAAAGGGUGCGUAGGUGGUUAGGUAAGACCUGUGGGAAAGACCUGGGCUUAACCCAGGAAGGUCGCAGGUGACUGCCUAGCUAGAGGGCGGGAGAGGAGCGCGGAAUUCCCGGUGUAGCGGUGAAAUGCGUAGAGAUCGGGAGGAAGGCCGGUGGCGAAGGCGGCGCUCUGGAACGUUCCUGACACUGAGGCACGAAAGCGUGGGGAGCAAACAGGAUUAGAUACCCUGGUAGUCCACGCCCUAAACGAUGGGUACUAAGUGUCGGCGGGUUACCGCCGGUGCCGCACCUAACGGAGUAAGUACCCCGCCUGGGGAUUACGGCCGCAGGUUGAAACUC
This 850-nucleotide ribosomal RNA is filed under the name uncultured Nitrospira sp. RNAcentral's name for it is "bacterial SSU rRNA". It matches the Rfam family "Bacterial small subunit ribosomal RNA", at positions 56 to 902 of the family's 1533-position model. The record is from RNAcentral. Lineage: Bacteria; Pseudomonadati; Nitrospirota; Nitrospiria; Nitrospirales; Nitrospiraceae.